GGCAGAUAAUUAUUAAACUUUAAAACUAGCUGCUCUUACUAGUUUUCCUAAACUUGUCUGUGCAAAGGCAGAUGUGACCAUUUGUCUAUCCUGUUUCAAACCUUCCAUCAAAAAUGGAGACCUGUAACACCUGUGCCCUGAUGAGAGCAAGGAACCUGCCAUCUAAUCCACAUUAAAAACCUACCUCACCCUGUCUGUCCGGUUUGCUCUGUGACUUUAUUUUUGUUCUCCUGUUGAAACUAUACCUUUAGGGAAAAGAAUAAAA
RNAcentral lists this long non-coding RNA (265 nucleotides) under Bos taurus (domestic cattle). Its description in RNAcentral is "long non-coding RNA NONBTAT018398". The record is from RNAcentral. Lineage: Eukaryota; Metazoa; Chordata; Mammalia; Artiodactyla; Bovidae.